GCGGCGGACCGUGACUGGCGCUGAGGUGGAGCACCACCGGGGAGCGGUCCCGCAUCCGAGUGUCGAGCCGCGCGCCUGGGCGAAGUCG
Molecule: non-coding RNA, 88 nt
Filed under: Actinobacteria bacterium OK074
Lineage: Bacteria; Bacillati; Actinomycetota; Actinomycetes
Also listed under: 1 other name
Description: ZMP/ZTP riboswitch aptamer (pfl RNA motif)
Rfam family: ZMP/ZTP riboswitch aptamer (pfl RNA motif)
About the family: Previously known as pfl RNA. ZMP is also known as AICAR.
Source: Rfam by way of RNAcentral